This 497-nucleotide ribosomal RNA is filed under the name uncultured bacterium. RNAcentral's name for it is "partial 16S ribosomal RNA". It matches the Rfam family "Bacterial small subunit ribosomal RNA", at positions 28 to 507 of the family's 1533-position model. The record is from RNAcentral.
GAUGAACGCUGGCGGCGUGCCUAAUACAUGCAAGUCGAGCGAACGGACGAGAAGCUUGCUUCUCUGAUGUUAGCGGCGGACGGGUGAGUAACACGUGGAUAACCUACCUAUAAGACUGGGAUAACUUCGGGAAACCGGAGCUAAUACCGGUUGAUAUUUUGAACCGCAUGGUUCAACAGUGAAAGACGGUCUUGCUGUCACUUAUAGAUGGAUCCGCGCUGCAUUAGCUAGUUGGUAAGGUAACGGCUUACCAAGGCAACGAUGCAUAGCCGACCUGAGAGGGUGAUCGGCCACACUGGAACUGAGACACGGUCCAGACUCCUACGGGAGGCAGCAGUAGGGAAUCUUCCGCAAUGGGCGAAAGCCUGACGGAGCAACGCCGCGUGAGUGAUGAAGGUCUUCGGAUCGUAAAACCCUGUUAUUAGGGAAGAACAUAUGUGUAAGUAACUGUGCACAUCUUGACGGUACCUAAUCAGAAAGCCACGGCUAACUACGUG